GGAUGGGAAGGUGAUCUAGCUACGACAUCUGUCACCCCAUUAAUCACCAGGGUUGACUUGGAGCAUCUGGCUGGCUAGGCGGGUGUCCCCUUCCUCCAUCACUACUCCAUAUGCAUCCCUCCCAAAGCUGUGCAUUUGGUCGAAGAGGACGACCUUCCCCCAAAAGAGGACCAGUGUUAGGACAAGGGUUCAGGAAUAGCUGUGCUCCCUGCUGGAACAUCCAGAAAAGCUCUCAAAAAGAAANNNNN
Molecule: small RNA, 248 nt
Filed under: Jaculus jaculus (lesser Egyptian jerboa)
Lineage: Eukaryota; Metazoa; Chordata; Mammalia; Rodentia; Dipodidae
Description: 7SK RNA (ENSJJAG00000005381.1)
Rfam family: 7SK RNA
About the family: 7SK was discovered as an abundant small nuclear RNA in the mid-70s but a possible function has only recently been suggested. Two independent studies have found that 7SK RNA binds the CDK9/cyclin T complex (known as elongation factor P-TEFb). P-TEFb activates transcription by phosphorylating the C-terminal domain of RNA polymerase II.
Source: RNAcentral